This 234-nucleotide ribosomal RNA is filed under the name Triticum aestivum (bread wheat). RNAcentral describes it as "partial small subunit ribosomal RNA". Lineage: Eukaryota; Viridiplantae; Streptophyta; Magnoliopsida; Poales; Poaceae. The record is from RNAcentral.
AUGUUGGUGCAGUCGCAUUCCCCUAAUUUUGUUUUCUUAUGUGAAACUCGACAGCAAGUGAACAAGUUGAAAUGAAUUAGGGCGAGACUAGGCCUACAAGGUUUUGAAGGAGUUGAUAGUGAUGGAAUGAGUGGUGGAUUGGCAUUAUUCUGGCAUGAAUCAUGUCAGGUUAAUCUUUUGAGUAAGACUGGUUGCUAUAUUGAUGUGACAGUAAAAACUAGUGUUGAUGGAUAG